RNAcentral lists this ribosomal RNA (253 nucleotides) under uncultured bacterium. RNAcentral's name for it is "partial 16S ribosomal RNA". It matches the Rfam family "Bacterial small subunit ribosomal RNA", at positions 524 to 776 of the family's 1533-position model. The record is from RNAcentral.
GACAGAGGGUGCAAACGUUGUUCGGAAUUACUGGGCGUAAAGCGCGUGUAGGCGGCUAUGCAAGUCGGAUGUGAAAGCCCUCGGCUCAACCGGGGAAGUGCACCCGAAACUGCAAAGCUAGAGUCUCGGAGAGGAUCGUGGAAUUCUCGGUGUAGAGGUGAAAUUCGUAGAUAUCGAGAGGAAUACCAGCGGCGAAGGCGGCCUUCUGGACGGUGACUGACGCUGAGACGCGAAAGCGUGGGGAGCAAACAGG